ACUCUUACGAGCGAAGGAUUAGGCAACUCCGAGACUUUAACCCGUGAAAGUUAGGAGCCUUUCCAAACCAGAAGAAGAGGCGGGGCCGAUGAUUCAGGCAACUGAGUCUCAAAUCUCGAACCUUUCCAAACCAGAAGAUGAGGGAGGCCGAUGAUUGAGGCAACUCUCAAAUCUCGAACUGGGUAACCAUUCUUCCUACUUAUCUCCUAAAUCAAAUAGUUUUUGUCUCAACCAAAUCAAAUGCUACGUUUCAUUUGCUCAAAAUUGCCCCAAAAACUGAGGCACAGACCUUCGAAACCUAGCCACGCAAACUUUUUCUCAACCUCCUCCCUCAAACCCACCUCAGAACUUCCUAAUCGCGAGGAUCCACAAUCUCUGAUAGUCUCCUUCCUCCAAAAUUCAUGUGGGCUUUCGUUCGAAUCAGCCAUUUUGUAUUCCAAGAAGCUCAACAUUGAGAACGUAAAGAAUACCAACUCCGUUCUAGACCUGUUGAGAAAUCACGGUUUGAGGCUGACCCACAUCAGGAACUUAAUUAGAAUUCGUCCACCAUUGAUUUCGGCUGAUUUAGAGAAUACCCUUAUGCCCAACAUGAAAGUGUUUGAAUCCUUGGGGUUUUCUGGUUCAGGUCUCGCCAGAAUGCUUAGCAAAUACCCCGCUGUGCUAGAAAGUGAUGCACACGCUGUUGUUGAGUUUUUUAGGGCACAUGGUUUUAGUUAUGAGCAAAUAACAACUUUGACGAUGAAGCGUCCCUCAUUGUAUAUGUAUAAUGCUGACAAGAUUUUUAAGCCGAAGCUGGAGUUUUUCAAAUCGUUAGGCUUGUCAGAUCUUGAAAUUGCACAGCUUUUAUCCUCUGAGCCUUGUAUUCUAACAAGGAGCCUCGAAAAACAAAUCAUUCCGUGUGUUCAAGAGCUUAGACGGGUUCUUGGCACUGAUGAGAAUGUCUUAAAGGUUAUAAAGGCAUGCUACCUAAUACUCGAAUCAAACAUGGUUCAUAUGCUACAGCCCAACAUCGACACGUUGAAAAGCCAUGGUGUUCCCCAGUCAUUAGUUUUGAAACUCAUCCUUAUAAAACCACUGUCAGUGCUUAUCUGCGGCAAUCGGUUUGGUGAGAUUGUUAGUGAAGUUAUGAAAUUGGGUUUUGAUCCCAAUUAUCUGUCGUUUGUUCUAGCCAUCAGGUCCAUGGCACUAAAUAGUAAGCCACUGUGGGAGCAGAAGGUGGGAGCUUUUAGAAGUUUUGGUUUGUCAGAGGAUGAAAUUUAUUUGGCAUUCAAGCGGCAACCCUUGUGUAUGACUUCUUCAGAGAAGAAGAUUAAGAAAGUUAUGGGUUUCUUUGUGAACAAACUGAAGAUGAAGCCUUCUAUGAUCUCCAAGAGUCCAAAUCUUCUACUGCAUAGCUUGGAGAGGCGGAUUAUUCCGAGGUGUUCAGUUCUGCAAGUUUUGAUGUUGAAGGGGUUAAUCAAGGAGGAUAUUGGCAUCCCUUAUAUGGUCACAAUGGCCGAGAAGAAAUUCAUGGUGAAAUUUGUGAGCAAGUAUCAAAAUGAGGUUCCUGAUGUUGUUAGAGCGCACCAAGGGAAGAUUGAAUUUCAAGGGCUCCCCAUAGCCAUGGAUAUGAGUACUUUUGACAUAAUCAAAUGAGGCAUUGGCUAAAGAUCAUGAGUUCAGUUUUGGUUCAACAUGUUUGCAGUUGGGUAAAUUACUUUUUGGAGGUGUCUCAGAAACUUUAUAUGGGUAGGAUGAUGCUUCCAUAUCGUGGAGAAAAAGGAAGAAGCACUUUUUGCCAGAAACUGCACAGUUUUCAUGCCAAUGCACAUUUUUAUAUUGACGCUCUCAUAUUGACUGCCAGAUACGGAGACAAACACAAGCUAGCAGGAUUUUCUGAUUUUGCUGGUUUAUGAUGGGUUGAAAUGUUAUGAACAAAAUGUUCAGGAUCCAUUGCCCAUAGUUCAUAGUCUCUAUCCAUUGUCUUUGUUUUUAAUUACCUGUUGUGAAUUGUAGAAUUGGGCAGUGAAUUGUGGAAUUGGAUGUUGUGGAAUGCUGCAGUAUUUUACUGAUUGGUGCAAUUAGAUGUUGUAAUUUUAUUGUCUCUAGUGUAAAGAGUUGUUUUGUUA
Molecule: RNA transcript, 2108 nt
Organism: Juglans microcarpa x Juglans regia
Lineage: Eukaryota; Viridiplantae; Streptophyta; Magnoliopsida; Fagales; Juglandaceae
Exons: 3
Source: RefSeq, a predicted model, not a curated record